RNAcentral lists this ribosomal RNA (512 nucleotides) under uncultured bacterium. Its description in RNAcentral is "partial 16S ribosomal RNA". It matches the Rfam family "Bacterial small subunit ribosomal RNA", at positions 28 to 523 of the family's 1533-position model. The record is from RNAcentral.
GACGAACGCUGGCGGCGUGCCUAAUACAUGCAAGUCGAGCGGAUGGAAGGAAGCUUGCUUCCUAAAGUCAGCGGCGGACGGGUGAGUAACACGUGGGCAACCUGCCCCUAAGAUCGGGAUAACUUCGGGAAACCGGAGCUAAUACCGGAUAUGAUUAUGUCUCACAUGAGAUGUAAUGGAAAGACGGUUUCGGCUGUCACUUAGGGAUGGGCCCGCGGCGCAUGAGCUAGUUGGUGAGGUAACGGCUCACCAAGGCGACGAUGCGUAGCCGACCUGAGAGGGUGAUCAGCCACACUGGGACUGAGACACGGCCCAGACUCCUACGGGAGGCAGCAGUAGGGAAUCUUCCGCAAUGGACGAAAGUCUGACGGAGCAACGCCGCGUGAGUGAAGAAGGUUUUCGGAUCGUAAAACCCUGUUGUUAGGGAAGAACAAGUACCAUAGUAACUGAUGGUACCUUGACGGUACCUAACCAGAAAGCCACGGCUAACUACGUGCCAGCCGCCGCCGUAA